UCCUUGGUGGCUCAGUGGUAAAGAAUCUGCCUGCAAUGCAGGAGCCCCAGGUUUGAUCCCUGGGUUGGGAA
This 71-nucleotide transfer RNA is filed under the name Bos taurus (domestic cattle). It matches the Rfam family "tRNA". Rfam says of the family: Transfer RNA (tRNA) molecules are approximately 80 nucleotides in length. Their secondary structure includes four short double-helical elements and three loops (D, anti-codon, and T loops). RNAcentral also lists the same sequence under 5 other names. The record is from Rfam by way of RNAcentral. Lineage: Eukaryota; Metazoa; Chordata; Mammalia; Artiodactyla; Bovidae.